GACAGAGGGUGCAAACGUUGUUCGGAAUUACUGGGCGUAAAGCGCGUGUAGGCGGCUAUGCAAGUCGGAUGUGAAAGCCCUCGGCUCAACCGGGGAAGUGCACCCGAAACUGCAAAGCUAGAGUCUCGGAGAGGAUCGUGGAAUUCUCGGUGUAGAGGUGAAAUUCGUAGAUAUUGGGAAGAACACCGGUGGCGAAGGCGGCGACCUGGUCCAUUACUGACGCUGAGGCGCGACAGCGUGGGGAGCAAACAGG
This 253-nucleotide ribosomal RNA is filed under the name uncultured bacterium. RNAcentral describes it as "partial 16S ribosomal RNA". It matches the Rfam family "Bacterial small subunit ribosomal RNA", at positions 524 to 776 of the family's 1533-position model. The record is from RNAcentral.